AUUGAACGCUGGCGGCAUGCUUUACACAUGCAAGUCGAACGGGCUUGGGGGCUUGCUCCCAAGUUAGUGGCGAACGGGUGAGUAAUACAUCGGAACGUACCGUGUAGUGGGGGAUAACUUAGCGAAAGUUAGGCUAAUACCGCAUACGAUCUACGGAUGAAAGUGGGGGACCUUCGGGCCUCACGCUAUACGAGCGGCCGAUGUCUGAUUAGCUAGUUGGUGAGGUAAAGGCUCACCAAGGCGACGAUCAGUAGCGGGUCUGAGAGGAUGAUCCGCCACACUGGGACUGAGACACGGCCCAGACUCCUACGGGAGGCAGCAGUGGGGAAUUUUGGACAAUGGGCGAAAGCUUGAUCCAGCCAUGCCGCGUGUCUGAAGAAGGCC
RNAcentral lists this ribosomal RNA (384 nucleotides) under uncultured bacterium. Its description in RNAcentral is "bacterial SSU rRNA". It matches the Rfam family "Bacterial small subunit ribosomal RNA", at positions 30 to 416 of the family's 1533-position model. The record is from RNAcentral.